RNAcentral lists this ribosomal RNA (574 nucleotides) under uncultured bacterium. RNAcentral's name for it is "partial 16S ribosomal RNA". It matches the Rfam family "Bacterial small subunit ribosomal RNA", at positions 355 to 922 of the family's 1533-position model. The record is from RNAcentral.
UGGGGAAUUUUGGACAAUGGGCGAAAGCCUGAUCCAGCAAUGCCGCGUGUGUGAAGAAGGCCUUCGGGUUGUAAAGCACUUUUGUCCGGAAAGAAAUCCUUGGCUCUAAUACAGUCGGGGGAUGACGGUACCGGAAGAAUAAGCACCGGCUAACUACGUGCCAGCAGCCGCGGUAAUACGUAGGGUGCAAGCGUUAAUCGGAAUUACUGGGCGUAAAGCGUGCGCAGGCGGUUUGCUAAGACCGAUGUGAAAUCCCCGGGCUCAACCUGGGAACUGCAUUGGUGACUGGCAGGCUAGAGUAUGGCAGAGGGGGGUAGAAUUCCACGUGUAGCAGUGAAAUGCGUAGAGAUGUGGAGGAAUACCGAUGGCGAAGGCAGCCCCCUGGCAAGUACUGACGCUCAUGCACGAAAGCGUGGGGAGCAAACNGGAUUAAUNCCCUGGCAGUCCACGCCCUAAAACGAUGUCAACUAGUUGUUGGGGGAUUCAUUUUCCUUAGUAACGUAGCUAACGCGUGAAGUUGACCGCCUGGGGAGUACGGUCGCAAGAUUAAAACUCAAAUAAUUGACGGGGUCAU